UACGUAGGCAGCAAGCGUUGUUCGGAGUUACUGGGCGUAAAGAGUGCGUACGCGGUCUUUUAAGUUUGGUGUGAAAUCUCCCGGCUCAACUGGGAGGGUGCGCCGAAAACUGGGAGGCUUGAGGAUGGGAGAGGCAUGCGGAAUUCCUGGUGUAGCGGUGAAAUGCGUAGAUAUCAGGAGGAACACCUGCGGUGUAGACAGCAUGCUGGACCAUUUCUGACGCUGAGGCACGAAAGCGUGGGUAGCAAACAGG
Molecule: ribosomal RNA, 253 nt
Filed under: uncultured bacterium
Lineage: Bacteria
Description: partial 16S ribosomal RNA
Rfam family: Bacterial small subunit ribosomal RNA
Source: RNAcentral